RNAcentral lists this ribosomal RNA (427 nucleotides) under uncultured bacterium. RNAcentral's name for it is "bacterial SSU rRNA". It matches the Rfam family "Bacterial small subunit ribosomal RNA", at positions 355 to 775 of the family's 1533-position model. The record is from RNAcentral.
UGGGGAAUCUUGCGCAAUGGGCGAAAGCCUGACGCAGCGACGCCGCGUGAGUGAUGAAGGCCCUCGGGUUGUAAAGCUCUGUGGGGAGAGACGAAUAAGGGCCGGCUAAUACCCGGCUCGAUGACGGUAUCUCCUUAGCAAGCACCGGCUAACUCUGUGCCAGCAGCCGCGGUAAGACAGAGGGUGCAAACGUUGUUCGGAAUUACUGGGCGUAAAGCGCGUGUAGGCGGCUGCGCAAGUCGGAUGUGAAAUCCCGUGGCUCAACCACGGAAGUGCACCCGAAACUGCGUAGCUUGAGUCUCGGAGAGGAAGGUGGAAUGCUUGGUGUAGAGGUGAAAUUCGUAGAUAUCAAGCGGAACACCGGUGGCGAAGGCGGCCUUCUGGACGAUGACUGACGCUGAGACGCGAAAGCGUGGGGAGCAAACAG